CAGAUUUUCCCGUGAGUGAGUUUGGAAAGUUAAGCCUUACAAACUCCAACAUUCCAGUUUGGAGAGAAGGACUUUUAGAAACGGUAACCGGUUUCUCUGUACAUGCGAGAACUCUGCUUGGUGGGUCAUCCUUCCGUAUGUGUCAAAGCAGUACAUCAAGGGAUUCGUAUGCUCAGAUUUGAACAUUAACCUUAUGAAUGUAACCUUUAAGGAUAUUAGAUGUAAGGAGAAUUAGGUGGUUUGAUCAACCCUUACACGUAUGAUGUACCAUAGUGACCACAAAGCACGUUCACACCAACAGUAUGUUUUAUACUUUUCACUCUGAUAUAGGU
Molecule: unclassified non-coding RNA, 332 nt
Filed under: Limulus polyphemus (Atlantic horseshoe crab)
Lineage: Eukaryota; Metazoa; Arthropoda; Merostomata; Xiphosura; Limulidae
Description: leucine-rich repeat-containing G-protein coupled receptor 5-like, transcript variant X2
Source: RNAcentral